CCUACGGGAGGCUGCAGUGGGGAAUAUUGGGCAAUGGGCGCAAGCCUGACCCAGCAACGCCGCGUGAAGGAAGAAGGCUUUCGGGUUGUAAACUUCUUUUGUCAGGGACGAAGCAAGUGACGGUACCUGACGCAUACGCCACGGCUAACUACGUGCCAGCAGCCGCGGUAAUCCGUAGGUGGCAAGCGUUAUCCGGAUUUACUGGGUGUAAAGGGCGUGUAGGCGGGACUGCAAGUCAGAUGUGAAAACCACGGGCUCAACCUGUGGCCUGCAUUUGAAACUGUAGUUCUUGAGUACGGGAGAGGCAGACGGAAUUCCUAGUGUAGCGGUGAAAUGCGUAGAUAUUAGGAGGAACACCAGUGGCGAAGGCGGUCUGCUGGACAGCAACUGACGCUGAGGCGCGAAAGCGUGGGGAGCAAACAGGAUUAGAUACCCUGGUAGUC
Molecule: ribosomal RNA, 443 nt
Filed under: uncultured bacterium
Lineage: Bacteria
Description: partial 16S ribosomal RNA
Rfam family: Bacterial small subunit ribosomal RNA
Source: RNAcentral